UUGCUUGUAGCAAAAAGAUU
This 20-nucleotide small nuclear RNA is filed under the name Arabidopsis thaliana (thale cress). RNAcentral's name for it is "snRNA_10868". Lineage: Eukaryota; Viridiplantae; Streptophyta; Magnoliopsida; Brassicales; Brassicaceae. The record is from RNAcentral.